GAUGAACGCUGGCGGCGUGCCUAAUACAUGCAAGUCGAGCGAACAGACGAGGAGCUUGCUCCUCUGACGUUAGCGGCGGACGGGUGAGUAACACGUGGAUAACCUACCUAUAAGACUGGGAUAACUUCGGGAAACCGGAGCUAAUACCGGAUAAUAUUUUGAACCGCAUGGUUCAAUAGUGAAAGACGGUUUUGCUGUCACUUAUAGAUGGAUCCGCGCCGCAUUAGCUAGUUGGUAAGGUAACGGCUUACCAAGGCAACGAUGCGUAGCCGACCUGAGGGGUGAUCGGCCACACUGGAACUGAGACACGGUCCAGACUCCUACGGGAGGCAGCAGUAGGGAAUCUUCCGCAAUGGGCGAAAGCCUGCCGGAGCAACGCCGCGUGAGUGAUGAAGGUCUUCGGAUCGUAAAACUCUGUUAUUAGGGAAGAACAAAUGUGUAAGUAACUAUGCACGUCUUGACGGUACCUAAUCAGAAAGCCACGGCUAACUACGUG
RNAcentral lists this ribosomal RNA (496 nucleotides) under uncultured bacterium. RNAcentral describes it as "partial 16S ribosomal RNA". It matches the Rfam family "Bacterial small subunit ribosomal RNA", at positions 28 to 507 of the family's 1533-position model. The record is from RNAcentral.